Molecule: unclassified non-coding RNA, 253 nt
Filed under: Candidatus Kaiserbacteria bacterium
Lineage: Bacteria; Candidatus Kaiseribacteriota
Description: contains 16S-23S intergenic spacer region
Rfam family: Bacterial small subunit ribosomal RNA
Source: RNAcentral
UACGUGAGCCUCAAGCGUUACCCGGAUUUACUGGGCGUAAAGGGUGUGCAGGCGGUCGUGUUAGUCGUUCGUUAAAGCCCGAGGCUCAACCUCGGAUUCGCGAGCGAAACGGCACGACUAGAGGGCGCGAGAGGUUUGCGGAACUCAUGGUGUAGGGGUGAAAUCCGUUGAUAUCAUGGGGAACACCGAAAGCGAAGGCAGCAAACUGGCGCGUUCCUGACGCUGAGACACGAAAGCCAGGGUAGCGAACGGG